GCCGCUUGUUUGCGCAGUAGGCAGCGCGUCAGUCUCAUAAUCUGAAGGUCGUGAGUUCGAUCCUCACACGAGGCA
RNAcentral lists this transfer RNA (75 nucleotides) under Saccoglossus kowalevskii. Its description in RNAcentral is "tRNA-Met". It matches the Rfam family "tRNA". Rfam says of the family: Transfer RNA (tRNA) molecules are approximately 80 nucleotides in length. Lineage: Eukaryota; Metazoa; Hemichordata; Enteropneusta; Harrimaniidae. The record is from RNAcentral.